GAGAAGAUCUCCACAGCCACCAUAUAUUUUCCCUUGGUGCUCAGAUAGGAAGGAAUAAAGGACAGCCAAACACUGCAGAAGACCAACAUGCUGAAAGUGAUAAACUUGGCUUCAUUGAAACUGUCUGGUAAUUUCCUGGCAAGGAAAGCCAUAACAAAACUCACAGUUGCCAGGCAGCUCAUGUAGAUGAGGACACAGUAAAACAUUGCCACACUCCCCUCGUUACAUUCGAGUAUAAUUUCUUCCAUCACAGAGUGCAUGUCCACAUCUGGGUAUGGGGGAGAGGUUGCCAGCCACACAGUGCAUAUUCCUGCUUGAACAAUGGAGCCGGAAAGGAGAAUGGAGUGGCCUAGUCCUUUCCCCACCCAUUUCCUCAUCCUGGAUUCUGGUUUUGUAGCCAUGAAGGCCAAAACCACCGUGAAGGUUUUUGCCAGGACACAAGAAACAGCGGUUGAGAAGAUGAUACCAAAAGCUGUUUGUCGGAGGAGGCACGUGACCUUCUCAGGUUGGCCAAUGAAGAGCAAUGCACACAGGAAGCAGAGCAGGAGAGAGAUGAGCAGAGCGUAGGUGAGGUUUCGGUUGUUUGCAAUGACAAUGGGCGUGUCAUGGUGUUUUAUAAAUGUACUUAGUACCAGAGCUGUGAUCAAGGAAAGGGAAAGAGAGAAACAGGCUAAACUGAUGCCCAAAGGUUCUUCAUAAGACAAGAAGCUGAUAUCCUUGGGUAGACAUGCAUUCCGGUUCUUGCUUGGAUAUUCUUUGUCUGGGCAUUUAUGACAGUCAUUCAUAUCUGGAAAAAAAUAAGGAAGUGACCUUUAGUUCAUAUCACGUCAGCUUCCUGAAAUGUUGACUUUCUGUUUGAGAAGAAAAGAGCUCUGCUCAAAUUAAAUCACAUUUAAUACUGUCUGAUGCUCUGUAACGUGGUAUUGUUGCAUUUAAUCGGUUCAGAGAUAUUGGUCUGUAAAUUGCAGAGCCAGGGCUAUUCCUCCUCAUGAUUUUGGAACAUAUCAUCACACUAGCCUGGGUGUAACUUGUGUAAGUCAAAAGGAAUGAAAAGCCCCUUCUAGGUUUGAUUUGAACCACAUACCAUCCAACUACUCUCAAUGCAGAGUCAUUCUCAUUAGAUUAACAUAUUUAGAUUAUCUGAAGGGCAAUGAUCACAAAGAAGCAGGAUCUCACACACAGUAGAUCAUCUCCUCUUUUGAAAAUUAAGUCAUCCGUCCUUACAGCACCUUUCAAUGCUUAGUACUGAGUCUGGAUCUAUUUAACUAUUUAUUUCUCUUACCAUCCUGGUUUGCAAUCUUCCCCUCAGCACAUGGGAUGCAAUCGUAGCAGCAAGGGGGCUGUCCCUCCUUCACUUUCUUGCUGAAUCCUGGAAGACAUCUCUCAGUACAGACAGAAAGAGGUUGACUCUAUUCCAUAAAUGAAACAGC
Molecule: non-coding RNA, 1430 nt
Organism: Podarcis lilfordi (Lilford's wall lizard)
Lineage: Eukaryota; Metazoa; Chordata; Lepidosauria; Squamata; Lacertidae
Source: the annotation of a GenBank genome assembly